GGCGUGUCACUUCAAAAAUGCUGUAAAGUGAUUCUCUGAUUCCUUCUCAACCAUAGUCUCUGAGCCCAACAAUGAGACCAACCAUAAGCAUAAACCUACGUAUCUUAGAAACACAGUUACAACGAUGUCAAUGUCUGAGACAAUUCAAGCAGAUUCUAUCUCAGAUGAUUCUCACAGCCUUUAUAACGGACACCUACGCUGCAAGUAGACUCAUCAACGUUUCCACUCACUCUAACUUCGUUCCAUUCGAAUAUUCCCUCCGAAUAUUCCAUCACCUUCACAACCCCAACGUCUUCGUAUGGAAUACCAUCAUGCGUUCCCACUUGCUCCAAAACGCACCACACCAAUCCCUAUACUUGUACAAGCUCUUCCUCUUAAACGACGUAGUUCCUGAUAACUACACCUACCCUAUUCUCCUUCAAUGCUGUGCUGCGCGAGGUUUGGAAUUCGAAGGAAAGGAACUGCACGGGCAUGUUGUUAGGUUCGGCUUUGGUUCGGUUGUUUACGUUCGGAACACGUUGAUUAAUUUGUAUGCUGUUUGUGGGAACAUGGCGACUGCGCGAAAGGUGUUUGAUGAAAGUCCUGUGUUGGAUUUGGUUUCUUGGAAUACCCUUUUGGCUGGGUAUGUUCAGAUGGGUGAUGUUGAGGAAGGGGAGCGUGUGUAUGGUUGGAUGCCGGAGAGGAAUACCGUUGCUUCCAACUCGAUGAUUGUGCUUUUUGGGAGGAAGGGUUGUGUGGCAAAGGCGAGGCGAGUUUUUGAUGGGAUUGAAAGGAAAGAUAUGGUUUCGUGGAGUGCGUUGGUUUCUUGUUAUGAGCAGAAUGAGAUGUGUGGGGAAGCGUUGGUUUUGUUUGUGGAUAUGGUUGCAAGUGGGGUGAUGGUGGAUGAGGUGGUUGUGGUUAGUGCUGUGUCGGCUUGUUCGCAGCUUUUGAGUGUAUGGAUGGGGAUGUCAGUGCAUGGGCUGGCUGCAAAGAUUGGAAUAGAGGGUUAUGUUAGCCUUAAGAAUGCAUUGAUACAUUUGUACACGAGUUGCGGGAGGAUAUUGGAUGCUGAAAAACUUUUUGAUGAUGGUGUCCUCUUGGAUCAGAUAUCUUGGAACUCGAUGAUUUCUGGGUACUUGAGGUGUGGUUUGGUUGAAAAUGCUAAGACAUUGUUUUAUUCCAUGCCAGAAAAGGAUGUUGUGUCUUGGAGUGCUAUGAUAUCGGGUUAUGCUCAACAUGAACGUUUCUCACAGGCUUUGGCAUUGUUCCAAGAAAUGCAGGUUCAUGGAAUUAGGCCAGAUGAGACUGUUUUAGUGAGUGUCAUCUCAGCUUGCACUCGUCUGGCUGCUUUGGACUUGGGAAAAUGGAUUCAUGCCUACAUUAGUAAGAAUAAGUUGCAAGUUAACGUUAUUCUGGGCACAACACUUAUAGAUAUGUAUAUGAAAUGUGGGUGUGUGGAAAAUGCGUUGGAGGUUUUCAAUGCAAUGGAGGAAAAGGGGGUUUCUACCUGGAAUGCUCUCAUUCUUGGGUUGGCAAUGAAUGGUUCGGUAAAACAGUCACUUGACAUGUUUGCGGAUAUGAAAAACACCAGGACUGUUCCUAAUGAGAUAACAUUUAUGGGAGUUCUUGGAGCCUGUCGGCACAUGGGCCUGGUGGAUGAGGGGCGCCACUACUUUAGUUCCAUGAUCCACCAACACAAGAUAGAGCCAAAUAUUAAGCAUUAUGGGUGCAUGGUUGAUCUUUUAGGACGUGCAGGUUUGCUUAAAGAAGCUGAAGAACUGAUUGAGAGUAUGCCAAUGGCACCUGAUGUUGCCACUUGGGGUGCUUUGCUCGGGGCUUGUAGAAAACACCAUGACAAUGAAAUGGGAGAGAGGGUGGGAAGAAAACUCAUUCAGCUUCAGCCUGAUCAUGAUGGUUUCCAUGUAUUAUUGUCAAAUAUAUAUGCCUCAAGAGGAAAUUGGGGCAAUGUUCUUGAAAUUAGGGGAAUUAUGGCACAACAUGGGGUGGUAAAGACACCUGGUUGUAGCAUGAUUGAAGCAAAUGGAAUAGUUCAUGAAUUCUUGGCUGGAGAUAAGACGCACCCACAAAUAAAUGAUAUUGAGAACAUGUUAGAUGUAGUGGCUGCAAAAUUGAAGAUUGAGGGCUAUGUACCAACCACAAGUGAGGUUUCACUGGACAUUGAUGAAGAAGAGAAGGAAACUGUCCUUUUCAGGCACAGUGAGAAACUUGCAGUUGCCUUUGGACUUAUCACCAUUGCUCCACCAACUCCAAUCAGAGUUAUGAAGAAUUUGCGCAUAUGUAAUGAUUGCCACACUGUUGUAAAGUUAAUCUCCAAAGCAUUUAAUCGUGAAAUUGUGGUAAGGGAUCGCCAUCGCUUUCAUCACUUUAAGCACGGAGCUUGUUCCUGCAUGGAUUUUUGGUAGCAAAACUGUACUUGCUAUUAAAGUGAAUGGGUAUCCUAUGCUUAAGGAAGGAGCUCUCAAUUGUUCUGGAUAUCAAAGUAUAUAGAACUGAAGAUUUUCCAGAUUUGGUUUGUUUCCUUGCUGCAGAAUCAAAUUUGUUCGUUCUUAUGCUCUUGUUGACAAAGAGUGACAGAUAUAUCUGUUGAUGUUGAUUGAGUUUGCAUCGGACAGUUGGCCCUUUUUCUCGGUUAAGUUUGGAAAAAUCAAAAAAUCUCUUAUUCAAUCACUAUCUCUGAGUCAGUGACCAUUCUUGUGAAGCAGCUGGGCGUGU
Abrus precatorius (Indian licorice) is the source of this 2712-nucleotide RNA transcript. It is a transcript of the gene named pentatricopeptide repeat-containing protein At3g62890-like, with no coding region annotated. Lineage: Eukaryota; Viridiplantae; Streptophyta; Magnoliopsida; Fabales; Fabaceae. The transcript has 2 exons. The record is from RefSeq and is a predicted model, not a curated record.